GAUGAACGCUGGCGGCGCGCCUAACACAUGCAAGUCGAACGGCACCUAUCUUCGGGUAGAAGCGAGUGGCGAACGGCUGAGUAACACGUGGAGGACCUGCCCCCUCCCCCGGGAUAGCCGCCCGAAAGGACGGGUAAUACCGGAUACCCCGGGGUGCCGCAUGGCACCCCGGCUAAAGCCCCGACGGGAGGGGAUGGCUCCGCGGCCCAUCAGGUAGACGGCGGGGUGACGGCCCACCAUGCCGACAACGGGUAGCCGGGUUGAGAGACCGACCGGCCAGAUUGGAACUGAGACACGGCCCAGACUCCUACGGGAGGCAGCAGUGGGGAAUCUUGCGCAAUGGGGGGAACCCUGACGCAGCGACGCCGCGUGCGGGACGGAGGCCUUCGGGUCGUAAACCGCUUUCAGCAGGGAAGAGUCAAGACUGUAC
RNAcentral lists this ribosomal RNA (430 nucleotides) under uncultured bacterium. RNAcentral describes it as "bacterial SSU rRNA". It matches the Rfam family "Bacterial small subunit ribosomal RNA", at positions 28 to 478 of the family's 1533-position model. The record is from RNAcentral.